UACGUGGGGUGCAAGCGUUGUCCGGAAUUAUUGGGCGUAAAGAGCUCGUAGGCGGUUUGUCGCGUCUGCUGUGAAAACUCAGGGCUUAACCCUGAGCCUGCAGUGGGUACGGGCAGACUAGAGUGUGGUAGGGGAGAUCGGAAUUCCUGGUGAAGCGGUGAAAUGCGCAGAUAUCAGGAGGAACACCGGUGGCGAAGGCGGGUCUCUGGGCCGAUACUGACGCUGAGGAGCGAAAGCGUGGGGAGCGAACAGG
This 253-nucleotide ribosomal RNA is filed under the name uncultured bacterium. RNAcentral's name for it is "partial 16S ribosomal RNA". It matches the Rfam family "Bacterial small subunit ribosomal RNA", at positions 524 to 776 of the family's 1533-position model. The record is from RNAcentral.